GUCUAAGGCCACACCACCCUGAAAGCACCCAAUCUCAUCUGGCAUCAGAAGCUAAGCAGAGUCAGGCCUGGUUAGUACUUAGAUGGGAGACAGAUCUUCAGAAGAGACU
Molecule: ribosomal RNA, 109 nt
Filed under: Castor canadensis (American beaver)
Lineage: Eukaryota; Metazoa; Chordata; Mammalia; Rodentia; Castoridae
Source: RNAcentral